CUGACCUCGGUUCAGACGUGAUUACCCGCUGAACUUAAGCAUAUCACUAAGCGGAGGAAAAGAAACUAACCAGGAUUCCCUCAGGUAACA
This 90-nucleotide ribosomal RNA is filed under the name Petasiger exaeretus. Its description in RNAcentral is "partial 28S ribosomal RNA". It matches the Rfam family "Eukaryotic large subunit ribosomal RNA", at positions 1 to 88 of the family's 3401-position model. The record is from RNAcentral. Lineage: Eukaryota; Metazoa; Platyhelminthes; Trematoda; Plagiorchiida; Echinostomatidae.